Columba livia (rock pigeon) is the source of this 1255-nucleotide long non-coding RNA. RefSeq lists it as uncharacterized. The record is from RefSeq and is a predicted model, not a curated record. The transcript has 2 exons. NCBI's taxonomy places the organism in Eukaryota, Metazoa, Chordata, Aves, Columbiformes, Columbidae.
UGGAGCGGCUGUGGCUGGUUUUAAUACAUUGAUUUAAAGUCUCCUCGCAAACCCUGAGCAGCAGCCGCUUGUCUUUCACCAGCUCAUUCCAAAAGGCGUAAAACCAUCGAGCCGCAAAAGAUGGGGCGAGAUUAAUCACCGCGGCGCGGGUUACAACAGAUCUUAGCGUCGUGUCCCGGCAGCUGGUUGAAAUUCAAGCGUAACGGGUUUGGGGUUGGAUUUACGGGGAGAUUUGAAGCAAUUUGUGCCUUGUCGUGACCUCGUCAGCACCGGGACCUCCCACACAGGCGGCCGGCUCCUGCAUCUCGUGGGGUUUGGAGGUCUGAGAGCAACAAAAGCCGCUGCAAAGCCAUGUUGUUCCCUGCAGGUCGUGGCGUGGAGAGUAGCAGCUGGUGUUAGAAACGCUCAAACGCCUCUUGUUUCGGGGGAUUUGGAGCUGGGUCAGCUGUAAUCCUGGUGGCGUCACUGGAAACAAGACAUAAAAGCAAAUCCCACUUGAAUACCUGCCUUAGCUCUUCCUCGCAUGGAAACAGAAAGUUCCCGAGCAUCGUGAGACAGAAGAAGCUCAAAUCCCAUCACCACCUUUCACCCGUCCUUCAACAUUCCCGCAGACACAAGGAGGGUUCAGGGUUGUGAUAGGAUGGGAAAAAGCUCUGUGUUGUGGGAUAGGACACACUGGAGGUGCUGUGGGGGAAGAGGAAGGUGAUGGAGGCUGGACAAGGUCACCCACGUGUCCCCAAAGAGCCACGUCCUGGGGAAAAGCACCUCUUGUCCCUGCCCAAACUGCACCACAUGAGGCCAGUUGAGCCUUGUAUAAUAAAUAUGAGUCAUGCGAAUCCUAAUAGGCAGCUUAUGGUCCCAAUCAAGGGCGAUUUGUUCAUAGCGGGGUUGAUAACCGGGUCAAAACUCAAUGUUACUGCGAGAAAAAGGGGCCUGACUUUCCAAAGAGAUCGGUAUUUUGAAGAGAAGCUGCAGGCACAGAAGGGCUGGAGCACAGUUAAUUAGUAAUUUAUGUUGAACUGUGAGGACUGAGUAGAGGAGAAAUGAAGUUUUGUUCAAAUUUGUUCUUUGCAGAUGAGGUUCGUGGGGACAGUGCUGGGUUAACAGUUGGACUCAAUCUUAAACGUCUUUUCCAACCAAAGCUUUUCUACGAUUUUACGAUUCUAUGAAAGAAGAAGCAGAAAAGUAUCCAGUUAAAUGAUAAAAGUGUUACUCAGCAAAUCAAAAAUGCAAUAAAUGGGUAUUUUCUGGUUAA